AAGCGUUCAUGACCAGACUUGGGCAGGUUGAUCAUCCGUGGUUCUCCGCGGUGCACUUUUCCAGUCCAGGCCAGCAUCAGUUUUCGCCGGGGGAUAAAGGCUUCGGGAAUGUGGCUCUCUCCGGGGAGUGUUAUAGCCCGUUGCGUAAUACCCUGGGACGGACUG
Molecule: ribosomal RNA, 165 nt
Filed under: Bionectriaceae sp.
Lineage: Eukaryota; Fungi; Ascomycota; Sordariomycetes; Hypocreales; Bionectriaceae
Description: partial large subunit ribosomal RNA
Source: RNAcentral